AUUGGACGCUGGCGGCAUGCCUUACACAUGCAAGUCGAACGGCAGCACGGGAGCAAUCCUGGUGGCGAGUGGCGAACGGGUGAGUAAUAUAUCGGAACGUGCCCAGUGAUGGGGGACAGCCCGGCGAAAGCCGGAUUAAUACCGCAUACGACCUACGGGUGAAAGCAGGGGAUCGCAAGACCUUGCGUCAUUGGAGCGGCCGAUAUCAGAUUAGCUUGNGGUGGGGGUAAAGCCUACCAAGGCGACGAUCUGUAGCUGGUCUGAGAGGACGACCAGCCACACUGGGACUGAGACACGGCCCAGACUCCUACGGGAGGCAGCAGUGGGGAAUUUUGGACAAUGGGCGCAAGCCUGAUCCAGCCAUGCCGCGU
RNAcentral lists this ribosomal RNA (371 nucleotides) under uncultured bacterium. Its description in RNAcentral is "bacterial SSU rRNA". It matches the Rfam family "Bacterial small subunit ribosomal RNA", at positions 29 to 402 of the family's 1533-position model. The record is from RNAcentral.